GACGAACGCUGGCGGCGCGCCUAACACAUGCAAGUCGAACGGAGCUGAGAGAAGCUUGCUUUUCUUAGCUUAGUGGCGAACGGGUGAGUAACGCGUGAGUAACCUGCCCUGGAGUGGGGGACAACAGUUGGAAACGACUGCUAAUACCGCAUAAGCCCACGAUCCGGCAUCGGAUUGAGGGAAAAGGAUUUAUUCGCUUCAGGAUGGACUCGCGUCCAAUUAGCUAGUUGGUGAGGUAACGGCCCACCAAGGCGACGAUUGGUAGCCGGACUGAGAGGGUGAACGGCCACAUUGGGACUGAGACACGGCCCCGACUCCUACGGGAGGCAGCAGUGGGGGAUAUUGCACAAUGGGGGAAACCCUGAUGCAGCGACGCCGCGUGGAGGAAGAAGGUUUUCGGAUUGUAAACUCCUGUCGUGAGGGACGAUAAUGACGGUACCUAACAAGAAAGCACCGGCUAACUACGUG
RNAcentral lists this ribosomal RNA (468 nucleotides) under uncultured bacterium. Its description in RNAcentral is "partial 16S ribosomal RNA". It matches the Rfam family "Bacterial small subunit ribosomal RNA", at positions 28 to 507 of the family's 1533-position model. The record is from RNAcentral.